UCAUUGCAAUUGUUGGUC
This 18-nucleotide non-coding RNA is filed under the name Arabidopsis thaliana (thale cress). Lineage: Eukaryota; Viridiplantae; Streptophyta; Magnoliopsida; Brassicales; Brassicaceae. The record is from RNAcentral.